Long non-coding RNA from Thunnus maccoyii (southern bluefin tuna), 794 nucleotides. RefSeq lists it as uncharacterized. The transcript has 3 exons. Lineage: Eukaryota; Metazoa; Chordata; Actinopteri; Scombriformes; Scombridae. The record is from RefSeq and is a predicted model, not a curated record.
CUAUAAUAGAAAGUGUAAAACCAUGUUAAAUACACACAACAUUUUGCAGCCAGGGCGUUUCAUUAUUCAGUUUUUGGCGGUUGUAUAUUUCUUGGAGGAGGAGUAUCAUGACCUCAAAUUACCGCCAGUCACCUUGCCUGCUUCCAGUUUCCGAAACACCCAUACAAUGAGAUCUGCUCCCACCCAGGCAGACGUCCCUUUGUGAUCAAAGCAGGAAACCUUUGGAACAACACGACAUCAACCCGCGACGCUCAGGUGACAGAAAGCAACGAGGUGACAGAGAAGGAUUUGAGUAGCUUUAUGACACAUAGGAAAUGUAUACUUAUACUCCACAAAUACAUAAAUCCAUCUAUCCAUUUUCUCCACCGCUUGUCCUGCUCAGGGUGACGGGGGGGAUGAGGCCUAUCCCAGCACCUCUUACAAGUGAAUACAUCUUCAGUUAGUAUAAAUAUAGUAAGCUAUACUGUUCAUAUGUACAAAGAUUUUCACUUUUAAUGGAGGUUUUUGGUAUUUUAGCAUAGUUUUAAAGACUUGUUGAAUUUCUCAUGGUGCCCCUAAAUGCCCGAAAUGUUGUUUUAACCCUUCACUGUAACAUAGUGUUCAAGCCAAAACUGAUCAACUUGUACAUUUGAGAUCAGUAAAAACAUCUUUCUUUUAGCCUGAAACUUUAGGACUUUUCCUAAAGUGACCCAGAAUAUACAAAAAUGGACCGUCAAAAACAUUGUUACAUUCUUCACAUUCAAUAAACAUUUAUUGAAAUCAUGAUGCCUGUUAUGUUUUCCUGUUUUAGGUAA